RNAcentral lists this transfer RNA (71 nucleotides) under Lepturacanthus savala (Savalani hairtail). RNAcentral's name for it is "tRNA-Val". It matches the Rfam family "tRNA". From Rfam's summary of the family: Transfer RNA (tRNA) molecules are approximately 80 nucleotides in length. Lineage: Eukaryota; Metazoa; Chordata; Actinopteri; Scombriformes; Trichiuridae. The record is from RNAcentral.
CAGGGUAUAGCUAAAUAGUAUAGCAUUUCCUUUACACUGAAAAGUCAUUUGUGCAAAUCGAAUUACCCUGA